AGCGAACGCUGGCGGCGUGCCUAACACAUGCAAGUCGAACGUGAAAAGGGAAACCUGAGUAAAGUGGCGUACGGGUGAGUCACGCGUAGGUAAUCUACCCCAGAAUCUGGAAUAACCUGCCGAAAGGCGGGCUAAUACUGGAUAGAGCGAGGGAACUCGUAAGAGAGUUUUUCGAGAAAUGGAGCCCGCAAUGGCCUUCGUUCUUGGAUGAGCCUGCGUCUCAUUAGCUAGUUGGUAAGGUAACGGCUUACCAAGGCGAUGAUGAGUAGCUGGUCUGAGAGGAUGAUCAGCCACACUGGAACUGAAACAAGGUCCAGACUCCUACGGGAGGCAGCAGUGGGGAAUCUUGCGCAAUGGACGAAAGUCUGACGCAGGCACGCCGCGUGAGUGAAGAAGGCCUUCGGGUUGUAAAGCUCUGUCGGAUGGGACGAACAUCUUCAUAGUGAAUAGCUAUGAGGACUGACGGUACCAUCAAAGGAAGCACCGGCUAACUCCGUG
Molecule: ribosomal RNA, 498 nt
Filed under: uncultured bacterium
Lineage: Bacteria
Description: partial 16S ribosomal RNA
Rfam family: Bacterial small subunit ribosomal RNA
Source: RNAcentral